Molecule: ribosomal RNA, 253 nt
Filed under: uncultured bacterium
Lineage: Bacteria
Description: partial 16S ribosomal RNA
Rfam family: Bacterial small subunit ribosomal RNA
Source: RNAcentral
UACGUAGGGUGCAAGCGUUAAUCGGAAUUACUGGGCGUAAAGCGUGCGCAGGCGGUUGUGCAAGACAGAUGUGAAAUCCCCGGGCUCAACCUGGGAACUGCAUUUGUGACUGCACAGCUAGAGUACGGUAGAGGGGGAUGGAAUUCCGCGUGUAGCAGUGGAAUGCGUAGAUAUGCGGAGGAACACCGAUGGCGAAGGCAAUCCCCUGGACCUGUACUGACGCUCAUGCACGACAGCGUGGGGAGCAAACAGG